GACGAACGCUGGCGGCGUGCUUAAUACAUGCAAGUCGAACGGAAAGGCCUUGUUUUUGUGGGAUGCUCGAGUGGCGAACGGGUGAGUAAAACGCGAGUAACCUGUCCUUGUCUUUGGGGUACCAUAUGGAAACUGGGGUUAAUAUAGGAUAGAAAAACUUGAUGCACGGUGGGGGUUGGAAAGAUACGGCGGUUUGGGAUGGACUGGCGGUUCAUCAGCUUGUUGGUGAGGUGGUGGCUUAACAAGGCUCUGACGGGUAGCCGGCCUGCGAGGGUGACCGGCCACAUUGGGACUGGGAUGCGACCCGUACUGCUACGGGAGGCAGCAGUGGGAGAUAUUGCACGAUGGGCGGAGUCCGGAUGCAGCAUCUCCGCGUGCUAGAUGACGGCUUUCAGGUUGUAAACCUCGUGCGCCUGUGACGAUGCGCGAGUGACGGUAAUUGGUAAAGAAGCACCGGCUAACUACGUG
This 468-nucleotide ribosomal RNA is filed under the name uncultured bacterium. RNAcentral's name for it is "partial 16S ribosomal RNA". It matches the Rfam family "Bacterial small subunit ribosomal RNA", at positions 28 to 507 of the family's 1533-position model. The record is from RNAcentral.